Long non-coding RNA from Musa acuminata AAA Group (dessert banana), 672 nucleotides. RefSeq lists it as uncharacterized. The record is from RefSeq and is a predicted model, not a curated record. The transcript is spliced from 2 exons. Lineage: Eukaryota; Viridiplantae; Streptophyta; Magnoliopsida; Zingiberales; Musaceae.
AUGUGGUGAUCCAUGUGGCGGUGCGACGUCGGCUGUCGGAUCGAACCUCCUCUCACGGAUCUUGCCACCCUAUCUUCAACUCCCCCGGACCUCCCUCUCUCUCUGUUCUCUCUCUCCUCUAUAUCUAAAGCACAUAGGGAAUCCAGAUUCAGCGUUACGGAACACAACACUUGAAGAGGCUGCAAUGGGUUCUUGGGUUCGCACCAUCACUACCCCCUUCAGGAAAGCUUGCACCCUCAUCAGUCCACCCAGAGACAAGAAGCCGCAAACAGCGGGACACGACCGGCACAGGACGGCACUACACGGCGAGGUGAUGGCCUGCGCCUACCACGACGUGCAGGUGAUGUGGUCCAUCCUCGACAAGUCCAGCCCCGGAGAAGAUCAUGCCCGACGCUGAGGACCCCCCCGAGUCUCUUAUAUGUUGUGCAGGUGUACAUUCUGGUCGGCCAAACGAUCGCUCUGGUGUUGGAGAACGAGAGUCGACUUGGCCUUUGUACUGUGAAGCCUUUUCCUUGGUUGGAAUCCCCAUGGCAUUGUUCGGUGAAGCACGAUGUGCAGUUCGUCCCCUUUGUACAAACACUUGGCCAUGCAAUUGUGGGGAAGCUUGUAAAUGGUCAUCUACAUCUCUCUCUCUGCAUCAAUGAUCCAAUCACCAUCGUCCGUUGUAGGGCA